Molecule: long non-coding RNA, 2016 nt
Organism: Vicugna pacos (alpaca)
Lineage: Eukaryota; Metazoa; Chordata; Mammalia; Artiodactyla; Camelidae
Source: RefSeq, a predicted model, not a curated record
GCUUAGGGGCUUCUUCACUUCUACUAUUUUGUAAUUCAUCCAUUCAGGGCUUAUUUAGGACUUACUCCCCACUAGGACCUGGACUGUGCACUGAGGUUACAGGAGUGACUAAAACAGUGCCUCAAGGAGCAACCCAUCCAGUGGAGGAGCCAGCCCUGUGAAGGUGCCAUGACGAGACCGCAUGGGACGACCACACACACGUGCAUGCACACAUGCAGUGAGGGAAUCCAGCAGACAGGAGGUCCACCCAGAUACUCCAGGAUAAUUGCCCCCUUCAAGACCCUCAACAGUGACAUCUGCAGAGACCUCAUAUCUAUAUAAGGGAAGGGAGACAAGUCCAGAGGCAUGGACCCUGGAAGAGGGACUGUCUGAUGAAGAGAAGAAAGAGGCCUUCAAUAUCACCAACCUAUAGCCUGGAUGCAGAGAUAAAGAGGUUUUCUGGAGGAAACCAUGACCCACUCGUCCUCUGCAGGGGAUCCAGGUUCAUUUGACAGCUAGUCGGUUACAGCUGGAGGGUGAAGCCAGUUGAGUACCACUGGGCCUCCAAGGACCCCAGCUCCUCUUGAACCAUCAGCUCAGAACAGUGCCCCACCCAGGCGGAGCGAGGAACCUUGGGCCUGUGCCUGGAGGGGACAAAAAUGAGCAUGGCCUGGCACCCACCACACUGUACCCCCCACACCCCUAAUCCCCACGGCUCUUCACCUUUCUCUCCCCUGUUAGACUGUGAGCUCCUGGAAGGCAGAGCCCACAUCCUCUCCAUCCCUGUUUCCCCACAGCCUCAUACAGCUCCACCAAUGUUUGUGGGAAGAAGUAAAUGAAUGACUAAAUACACCUUAGACAAGUGGUUCACCCCCUAAUCCUCUACUUCCUUAUCUGUAAAGUAGAAAUGACAACAGCUACUAACUAGAGUAUAGUGAAGAUUGAAUGACAUCAUGAAUGUGAGAGCCCCCAAUAUGGACCUAGCAAAGCAGAUGCUCAAAAAUCCUUUCUUCUCAGGGGGAAGAGUUCAGUGCAGUGGUAGAGCAUGUGCUUGGCAUGCACCAGGUCCUGGGUUCAAUCCCCAGUACUGCCAUUAAAAUAUAAAUAAAUAAAAACCUAAUUACCCCCACCCAGUUUAAAAAAAAUUCAUCUGUAUCCCCACUUUAAAAAAACGGCAUUCUCUCUUUUGCCUUUAACCACACCUCCUGACUUAAGUACUCCCUGAACUUCACAUUUUCUAGGCUGAACUUGAUAGGCCACCAGUGAUUGAAGAAUCAUAAAAUAUCUGAGCGGGAGGGUACCAGUGGUGGACAUCUGCCUUGUUUGGUUUCCCACUCUUAAUCUAGUUCCCUAUCACAACACCCAUUUUCCCCCAUUGAACCCCAAGUCUCAGUCCCUGUGGCUCAGGAGGGGUUGACUGCACCCGGAUGCUCAGUGCGGAUAGAGUCAACCUUUUCCUGGCAAGCAGAGCACUGAAUUCCUUUCGCCACAGUGAUUAGUCAGCUAUGGCACAUGCCCAAUGAGAUGCAGUUCUGGGACUUGUGAGAGAGGGAAUCGCCCUUAGCGCUGAGGGGAUGGAACAUCCACCAGGAGCUGCUGGCCGCCAUUUUGCUUCUGUCAGGAGAGAGUCUGUAGGAUAACGGAACCAACGCUCAGGAAGCAGCUUGACACCAAGCCCUGAUGACACCAUCUGAGUCUUUUGAUCCAGGCAUGCCUAAAACCAGUAUUCCUUUGGACUUUAAAGUUUUGUGAGCUAAUGAAUCCCCCUUUUUACCUAAGUCAGUUGAAUCGGGUUUUCUGUCACUUGCAACCAAAGGAAUUCUGACUAAUACAAGACCUUGGAGUUUACCUCAUUAAACCUCUUAAUCUUACAGACAAGGAACAGAUUUGCAAAAUCACAUAGACAGAUUUUUACACAAUCAAUCUUGCAAAUAAAUAUAUUGCCUCACUUGCUUUUAUCUUUACUGCUGACCAGAACAGGGAUAUGUUGCCCUUCUGCCUGGAUAGGGUCAUACAACACUGAUUUUGGUCAAAGAA